RNAcentral lists this ribosomal RNA (547 nucleotides) under uncultured bacterium. Its description in RNAcentral is "bacterial SSU rRNA". It matches the Rfam family "Bacterial small subunit ribosomal RNA", at positions 355 to 896 of the family's 1533-position model. The record is from RNAcentral.
UGGGGAAUAUUGCGCAAUGGGGGGAACCCUGACGCAGCCAUGCCGCGUGAAUGAAGAAGGCCUUCGGGUUGUAAAGUUCUUUCGGUAUUGAGGAAGGUUGAUGUGUUAAUAGUACAUCAAAUUGACGUUAAAUACAGAAGAAGCACCGGCUAACUCCGUGCCAGCAGCCGCGGUAAUACGGAGGGUGCGAGCGUUAAUCGGAAUAACUGGGCGUAAAGGGCACGCAGGCGGUUAUUUAAGUGAGGUGUGAAAGCCCCGGGCUUAACCUGGGAAUAGCAUUUCAGACUGGGUAACUAGAGUACUUUAGGGAGGGGUAGAAUUCCACGUGUAGCGGUGAAAUGCGUAGAGAUGUGGAGGAAUACCGAAGGCGAAGGCAGCCCCUUGGGAAUGUACUGACGCUCAUGUGCGAAAGCGUGGGGAGCAAACAGGAUUAGAUACUCUGGUAGUCCACGCUGUAAACGCUGUCGAUUUGGGGGUUGGGGUUUAACUCUGGCGCCCGUAGCUAACGUGAUAAAUCGACCGCCUGGGGAGUACGGCCGCAAGGUUA